AAGGUAUUGUGUCUUAUUGCUCUUUGAAAAAAAGAGAGGAAAGUCCAGACACCGAAGACCGCCAUGCUUCCGAGAUGGAAGGAUCUUUGUUAGAGAUAACAAAGGUACAGAUAGUGUCACAGAAAAUAUACCACCCUUAAUAAAAGGGUAAGGGUGAAAAUGUGAGGUAAGAGCUCACACAUCUAUUUGGUAACAAGUAGAUGCGAUAAACCUCAUGGGGUGCAAGACCAUGUAUACCAGCGCUUGAGACUUGGUCGGUCGAGCUGGAGGGUAGGUCGCUUAUGUAUAUUGGAGACAGUAUACUCAGAUAAAUAAUAAGGCUAUACUAUAAUGUAUAGACAAAAUCUGGCUUAUAGCAAUACCUUUUUU
This 369-nucleotide RNase P RNA is filed under the name Bacteroidota bacterium. Its description in RNAcentral is "RNase P RNA component class A". It matches the Rfam family "Bacterial RNase P class A". From Rfam's summary of the family: Ribonuclease P (RNase P) is a ubiquitous endoribonuclease, found in archaea, bacteria and eukarya as well as chloroplasts and mitochondria. Its best characterised activity is the generation of mature 5'-ends of tRNAs by cleaving the 5'-leader elements of precursor-tRNAs. RNAcentral also lists the same sequence under 2 other names. Lineage: Bacteria; Pseudomonadati; Bacteroidota. The record is from RNAcentral.